This 497-nucleotide ribosomal RNA is filed under the name uncultured bacterium. Its description in RNAcentral is "partial 16S ribosomal RNA". It matches the Rfam family "Bacterial small subunit ribosomal RNA", at positions 28 to 507 of the family's 1533-position model. The record is from RNAcentral.
GAUGAACGCUGGCGGCGUGCCUAAUACAUGCAAGUCGAGCGAACAGACGAGGAGCUUGCUCCGCUGACGUUAGCGGCGGACGGGUGAGUAACACGUGGAUAACCUACCUAUCAGACGGGGAUAACUUCGGGAAACCGGAGCUAAUCCCGGAUAAUAUAUUGAACCGCAUGGUUCAAUAGUGAAAUACGGCUUUGCUGUCACUUAUAGAUGGAUCCGCGCCGCAUUAGCUAGUUGGUAAGGUAAAGGCUUACCAAGGCAACGAUGCGUAUCCGACCUGAGAGGGUGAUCGGCCACACUGGAGCGGGGACACGGUCCAGACUCCUACGGGAGGCAGCAGUAGGGAAUCUUCCGCAAUGGGCGGAAGCCUGACGGAGCAACGCCGCGUGAGUGAUGAAGGUCUUCGGAUCGUAAAACUCUGUUAUUAGGGAAGAACAAAUGUGUAAGUAACUAUGCACGUCUUGACGGUACCUAAUCAGAAAGCCACGGCUAACUACGUG